This 484-nucleotide ribosomal RNA is filed under the name uncultured bacterium. RNAcentral describes it as "partial 16S ribosomal RNA". It matches the Rfam family "Bacterial small subunit ribosomal RNA", at positions 29 to 507 of the family's 1533-position model. The record is from RNAcentral.
AUUGAACGCUGGCGGCAUGCUUUACACAUGCAAGUCGAACGGCCGCGCGGGCUUCGGCCUGGUGGCGAGUGGCGAACGGGUGAGUAAUAAAUCGGAACGUGACCUGUAGUGGGGGAUAGCUUGGCGAAAGCCGGCUUAAUACAGCAUCCGACCAGAGGGUGAAAGCGGGGGAUCUUCGGACAACGAGCUAUUUGAGCGGACGAUGGCAGAUUUGCUCGUUGGUGGGGCAAAGGCCUACCAAGGCGACGGUCUGUAGCUGGACUGAGGAGACGACCAGCCACACUGGGACUUGAACACGGCCCAAACUCCUUCGGGAGGCAGCAGGGGGGAAUUUUGGACAAUGGGCGAAAGCCUGAUCCAGCAAUGCCGCGUGUGGGAUGAAGGCCUUCCGGCUGUAAAGCACUUUUGGCGGGAACGAAAAGGACGGUGCCAAUACCACGGUUCGAUGACGGGACCCGCAGAAUAAGCACCGGCUAACUACGUG